Long non-coding RNA from Musa acuminata AAA Group (dessert banana), 2795 nucleotides. RefSeq lists it as uncharacterized. Lineage: Eukaryota; Viridiplantae; Streptophyta; Magnoliopsida; Zingiberales; Musaceae. The transcript has 3 exons. The record is from RefSeq and is a predicted model, not a curated record.
CCGUUCCAGGUGCAGGCGAGGCCCCUGCGGAGCAUCGACCUUGCCCGGGCCCCAGACUCCGUCUUCUUUCCGGCAUCGGAAAGUUCGGCAUCGUGCCCACAAUCUCGUCCAGAGCCUCGCCUCCCUGUUCUUCGCCUGCGCCACACUUCUCCGCCCCGUCAUCCUGUCCAAGGGCCCGUCGGCUCAAGUGGUAGCAAUACGCCUGUCGGAAACAUCGGGAAAAGCCCAUCUUCGCCGUAAUCGUUGGAUCACAUCUCGAAAACUUUGCGUUCGGUUAUAUUUCUUGGUGAAGGAUGUAAUGAAGGAGCUUUCUUUGUGCAAGGAGGGAGACAUGAUCAUACAUUAGCUGACAGAGUUGGCUAGCAAAGAAUAACUAUGUCUGCUUGUUGUUGAUGAGAGUUCCCAUUUACUUGGGAUCUCUACAGAUACAAUAUCUCUGGCACAUAAUCAAUGCCAGUGAGUGCAGCUAUCUUCACCCUCACAGUUUGUGAGAUGUGCAACAGAUGGAAUUACCCCUGUCAGCAGUGCAAUUCUUACCUGUCAUCAAUGACCACAACAUUUUGUUGAUAUCAUCACCUUGCAUGGAGUGGUUUCAGCAGGUUUGUGAACUUAACCUUAACCUUAACCUUAGCAGGUUUGUCAUCAAUGACCCUAAACCUUUUGUUCUUUAACAUCCAUUAAUAUCUUCUAUGGUGUUGAUGUAUCUCAGCUUGCCCAGCAGUAGCAAAGGGGUGUAUGGACAAUAUUUACUUCUUUUUUUUUUUCUUUUCUUUCAAAGCAAUUUGUUUCACUAUCUUUGCUGAUGUAAUAUGGAUCUACAAAGGCAUUUAUUACACUGUAAUUUGCACAUGCCAUGCAUGUAAAAAUGAAUGACUUUUGUGUUUACAAAAGAAUAGAGCACAUCAAAGAGGUUAUGUAAUAUAAAUACAUGAUAACUGCCUAACUUUUGAUUAUCUGUGAAUAUUUAAAUAUACUGGGCAGAAGGAAAAUGGCAUAGCAUUUUAAAAUCCAUUAAUUGUUUACUAUCCACACAGUAUAUUUAAAUGUACUGUGUGGAUCAUUCUCAUUUCUUUUCUGUUUCUUUCUUUUUUAAUAUAUAUCUAUUUCAAAGUAGGAACUAAUUAAUAAGAGAAAGAAUACCCUCACCAUGUAAAAUCUUUUUCGGUUCAGGAGGAUAGCAUAUAUGAAACGUGGGAAAUACAUGAGCUAAACUGUUGUAUAGAGUGUAUACUGGAAUCAAGAUUCAGCCUAGGCUUUAAUCUCUAUGUUGGUAUCUAUAUUGGCUUUUUGUUUAUAGGACAUAUAUGCAUUAGCACAUGCAUCAUGCCAUAACACAAAGGACUUUAGAUUUGUCGUGUCGAAAUGAGUAGGAACAAGAUUUGGUCAAAUUCUAGUGGUCCACCUAGGAUCUGAAUCCAAUAAUCUUUUGGAUUCAAACUGAUGAUAUAUGACCAAUAUUUGGAUCAAAUCAUAGUUGGUUAUCAGACUCAUCCCUUUUGUAAAUCUAGAUCCACAACAAAUCAAAUAAAUAUUAAUGUAUCUUAAGUGAAAACAUGCUGAAAAAUUGGUUUGGAUUUUGGAAUAUUAUUUCCCAUUGUCAUCCCUAGAAAUGAGGAUCAAACUGUUGAGGAUGCAAAUAAAAGUCAGCUUCAGAGAGCCUACAGGUGGGAGUAUAGGAGAUAGCUUGGGGGUUGGGGCACUUAGUCAUAUAAGUUGGACCAACUCCAUCCAGUGACUUGGGUUCAAAGGUCUUUUCCAUCUUCAGGAAAGGACAGCCACUUGAGGUGAUUGCACCAAGAAUAAAGAAGAAAAUGAAAGGAAGAAAUAAUUAAAGUCAAUCUGUGGUUGCACUUUAUAUUUUAUUAUUCAUUAUAGUGGAAGGUAGGCCAGCUUGCUCAAGUUAUUGGUGGAAGCUUAGAUCAACAAUUGGGAACGCUUUAUAAAUUUUUUAUGCAAUUGCCUCUGCCCAGAUUUAAGGGAGUGCACAUUGACGUUAAGAUUCCAGUAAGAAAGGAAAUUUCUGGCCCAUAUUCAUAACUUGAAUCCUUAAAUAUUUCAUUGUUAUUUAGCCACAAUAUUUUUUACAUUUGCUCAUGCUUUUUUAAGUUUAUGCUUGUUCUUACUUGCUAUGUGUAAAGGUCUUGUUCUUAGACUAACCAUCCCUUUCUUUAUUUUGCAAGUUUACCCUUUGCACAGUAGCUAGGGUUGUUAGUUUCCAGUAAUAAUAUGAACUUUACUCUAAAUGAGGGUUGCAACACAAACUUCAAAUAUUUAGGGGCAGAUAAUGAAAGAAAAACCAUCUCAAGUUUUAGAAGUGUGGAUUCCCUUAUCUGUAACUGUGUUUCUUUUUAAAAUUUUAAAUCAAAUUGAUACUUCAUUAUAUAUUAUCUUCUUUGGUCUUUGUUCUUUUCUGUAUUUGGAGUAAGAAAUUAUUUCCUUCCCAACAAAUGUGAGGUUCUUGGGGUAAUUUAGGAACUAAUGAAUGGAGAUUCCUGCAUGAAUAGGUUUUUAAGACUGAUAAACUUCCAAUACAAAUUCAGGUUUAAAAUGAAAUAAGAACUUUCCUUAACCAAAAAGCAAUGUUUGCCAGAUUGCUGAACUAAACUGCUACGAAAAAAAAGAUCAUUGAGGUGAAAUAAAACACAAUAUUAUCAUAUGACUUCUGAGAGCACAAAGAAGGCACACACCACUAUGUUUUUAAUAAAUAUUGUCAGGAUAUCAUUCCGACACAAUCAUUCACUUCAAAAAUCUUGAGCAGCAUCACAUAUUUGUAUACAUCACAUUUUUUGGUGUUU